Molecule: ribosomal RNA, 497 nt
Filed under: uncultured bacterium
Lineage: Bacteria
Description: partial 16S ribosomal RNA
Rfam family: Bacterial small subunit ribosomal RNA
Source: RNAcentral
GAUGAACGCUGGCGGCGUGCCUAAUACAUGCAAGUCGAGCGAACAGACGAGGAGCUUGCUCCUCUGACGUUAGCGGCGGACGGGCGAGUAACACGUGGAUAACCUACCUAUAAGACUGGGAUAACUUCGGGAAACCGGAGCUAAUACCGGAUAAUAUAUUGAACCGCAUGGUUCAAUAGUGAAAGACGGUUUUGCUGUCACUUAUAGAUGGAUCCGCGCCGCAUUAGCUAGUUGGUAAGGUAACGGCUUACCAAGGCAACGAUGCGUAGCUGACCUGAGAGGGUGAUCGGCCACACUGGAACUGAGACACGGUCCAGACUCCUACGGGAGGCAGCAGUAGGGAAUCUUCCGCAAUGGGCGAAAGCCUGACGGAGCAACGCCGCGUGAGUGAUGAAGGUCUUCGGAUCGUAAAACUCUGUUAUUAGGGAAGAACAAAUGUGUAAGUAACUAUGCACGUCUUGACGGUACCUAAUCAGAAAGCCACGGCUAACUACGUG